UAAAUUUGGAAGAGUGCUUUCGCCAUAAACUUGAUAGGGCCCCGAUUCAUUAGAAUGCAUAAAGAGUUUCCGUAAUGUUACAGUCUAUUAACAUAAUACGCCUCGGUUGGUAGGUGCAUUCAAUGUUCUCGUUCUUGGAUUCGUGAUCGUAAUCUAGAAGGAAUCACAUUAGUAGGCAACGGGACCAAUUACUCGCAAAGGAAGAAAAGGAUAAGGUAUAAGGAUAUAGGGACAAUUAUACACGAAGAUCGGUAGCUUUCAGGAAAACAUAUAUUUGGGACAUGUAAUCAAGGUCUAACCGAGCCAAUACUCCGGGCCCGAAGGGAAUUUUCUAAAUUCGAUCUGGCGUCCGGAUACACCUCGCAUGACCAAACAAAGUGCUCGAUGUCGUGAAUGGCUGAAGUUGGAAUUUGUAGUUCCUUCAGAAACUGUGACUGCAGCACCGAGUAGUGAAGAUGGUUCAUCUGUAGGAGGGAGGCCUGAAAAAGAUUACAAAGAAUGUAAAGAUCGUACUAAACGAAGAAAAACUGCAAAAACAGGUACGGGAAGGGAGGGUAAGCCCGCCACUGAUUAUAAAACCGGCACCCCCUGAGUUUUACUAGAAAAAUCUGACUAACUACGUUUUUGAAUACUCUACAUGUUAGUAUUUAUUAUUUUAGACGUUUUGAAUCACAUCGAACCCACCGUGAUCCGUCAAUUGUCAAAAUAUAAAUCAAAACAAACGCGAGUGCCGAUAAUAUGUAGCCGGAUGUAAUUUUCCGUCAGUGAAGUUUAAGCUUUUUAUUGUUGAACGCGGUUUCAAAUUCUUUUCCGUUGCUCUACAUUUGUCCCCUGGAUUGUUAGCAAUCACUGGGAUUCGAGUUGAGAUGCCUCGCAGCUACCAAAGAAAAACGAAUCGAGGGAGUUGGUCCCAGGAGAACCUCACCCUUGCAAAAGAGGCUAUUGUUAGUGGAGUUUCUAUCAAACGUGCUUCCACGACUUUUGAACUACUGAUGUAAAUUUAAUGUUGGAUUUAAGCUGUUCGAUAAAAUUAAAUGAACUUCAUCAUUGAACGAAAAAUAAUGGCUGUAUGGUCUUAACGAAAAUAAUAAACUAAUUACAACUAAACAUAA
Long non-coding RNA from Toxorhynchites rutilus septentrionalis, 1112 nucleotides. RefSeq lists it as uncharacterized. The transcript has 4 exons. The record is from RefSeq and is a predicted model, not a curated record. NCBI's taxonomy places the organism in Eukaryota, Metazoa, Arthropoda, Insecta, Diptera, Culicidae.